RNAcentral lists this ribosomal RNA (3068 nucleotides) under Triticum aestivum (bread wheat). RNAcentral's name for it is "partial small subunit ribosomal RNA". Lineage: Eukaryota; Viridiplantae; Streptophyta; Magnoliopsida; Poales; Poaceae. The record is from RNAcentral.
GACCACUACUCCGUGGACAUCGCCAUUCCUCCAGCAGCGCUGCUGCUCUUCUUGCUCUUUCUCUUUAUCCAUCCACAUCCAGUGCGCCGACAAGCCCACCCCAUCAGCGGUGCUCUCCUUCCUCUCAUCUCUAUCCGUGCUCUAGCCACACACCACCCACGCGCCCUUCUUGCUUCAGUCGACGGCUCCUCGUUCCCCUCUCCCUUCCCUCCUCCACAACUAACCAAGCACCGCCCUCUCAUGGUUCACGUUCGUCGGCCGGUUGCAGGCGGCUCCUGUUGGCCGAGCCUGCGCGCGCGGGGGCUGGCUGGGCCGAUGGCUGAGGCGCGGCAAUGGUGGCCUGCUCACGGUCGAGCUCGGCGGCUACUUGACGGGGCCGCGUGGAUCUGCCCCGAGGCUCCGGGCUCCGGAUCUGCGUGGUCAUGUCCACCUCACCCUCCGACGGCGCCUUACUGCGGCGCUUCGGGCCCAGAUCUCGCCGGUUGGCGCGUAGAUGUGCGUGCGCUCGGCUUGAGGUAGCGCAAGGAUGAUGGGGCAGCUUGGAUGGUGGCCCGUGCAGUGUGCGGCUGCCCUCAGAACGCAGGCGUCCCACGAUGACGACGCAGGGGGGUGCAGCAUCUGGUCCAGCAUGGUGCGGAGGCCGGCGGCGACCUCGUGGCUCUCUCAGCAGAACUCGGGCUGCGGCGCGACGCCAAGCCACGCCUGCACUCUGCCGUCAUCUGGACGCAUGCCAUGAUGGUCACGCCCUCAAGCUCCAUGACGGAGGACCAUGGAGGCGCGCGGAGCGAGGCGCAGAGGAACGGAUCUGGUCGCGCAGAGGCCCACUUGCGGGAGAGGCAGGGAGGCGGCCAUGGCAGGUCGUUUUGGAGGGAGGCGUCCAUGGCAUGGGACGGCGGCGGCUGAGCGCAGCGCCGGCGCUCGAGAAGACGACGGACCAUGGAGGCGCGCGGAUCGAGGCGGAGACGCACGGAUCGACGCGGAGACGCACGGAUCUGGCCGCUCCCAGGUCAGAUCUGGCCGCAGUGGAGCUCCACAUCGGGAUCCAUGGUGCUCCAUCGGGAUCCAUGGGCCAGAGACAAGAUUUGUGAGAGAGAGGUCAGGAAGGGAGAAGGGAGACGGGAGAAUAAGAGAGAUAGGGCGCGCGGGAGGAGUUACGGGACGAAGGCUGGAGGUCGGUAGCGGUGGCGCUGGACGCCGGCGUGAGAUGCAAGCCAGAGGGAGAAAACCGUGAGGGAGAAAACCGGGAGGGGGGAAAGAAAAUCAGUGGGACGAGAGGUGGGUCGGGACGGGAGGAAAGAAAAUCGGGAGCGAGGGGGUCGUACGAAAGGCUUGACGAACAUAAGAGGGGAAACGAAACACUACGUUUGUUUUAGAUAGUAGAGAUAGAGAUAUAUAGGUGUGUUGGUUCAGUAUUUUUUUCAGAAUUUUUGAGAACUUUUGCACCGUUUAAACCCUUAUAGAAAAUGCUACUCCUUGUGAAAUAUAUAUAUUAUAACACAUGAAACAAAAUUAAAGAUGCAUACGACUUAUUAUAUUUGAUUAUGUAUAAUUGUAAAAUAUUAUUAAAUAUAAGUAGAAUGAUAGAAUGAAAAAUAUUUCCUCAUGCAUGGUUGCAUGUGGUGAUGGUUCUUUUUCCAUGCAUGAUUGCAUGUUGAGGUGAGCCUUAUCCCAUCAAUAAUUGUAUGGUGAUACGACAUACUUACAUAAUGAGAUAAAUAAAUUAGUGGGGAUCACUUCUUAGGUAUGUAUAGGACAACAGUGCACAAUAUGUGAACACCCUUGACAACACCAUUCGUCAAGUCAAGUAAAGAUUUACAUUAGUGUGUUGCCCAAUAGAACAUCAGACCAUCUUGAAAGGGUGAUUUGUCAGAGGGGCCCUAGAAGCGGUUCCAAGCAAAUGUCUCUUUGUGGCUAUCCUUUUUUUCCUCAGGUCACUAAGGCCAUCUACAACGUUGAGACGUAGGCCAGGUGUGAGGCCUCGAUUCGAUGAUUCCUGGCCAUUAUGGGGGGCGGGGGAUCUCUGUCCUACUAAUUGUACUAACACUGUGAGCAGAGAAGACAACGAGUACAACUUUAAUGCCCGAGAUCAGACCAUAGCAUGGGGAUCUGGUGGGUAUCCCAAUUUGCAACUCCUUUGUAAUCACGGCGCAGUCCAUCUCCAAAGUGACUGGCCGUCUGGCCGUCUGUACACUUUUGCCAGAGCAUUUAGUCCAACCAGUGCUGCUCUGGCAUCCGCCUCAUCAACACCGCUCUUGCCCUCUGUUGUUGUUAAUUGGAGUUCAGAACUGAAAUAUAUUUGCUAUUUUACAGUUCUUGUUUUGGUUCACAAUUUUCAAGUGAGAAACAAAGGGAAAACAAUAGGAAUUAUGUAGGAUAGAACUCAUUCAGAAUUAUUUAUUUCACUGAUGUCUGUAGCAAAGGAAUUGUUGUUCUAUUUUCCUUUGAAAUUCCUAUGGAAUGGACUAUGCCAUAGGAAUUUAGGAGGAAACCAAACAGGAGGUCCUACCUCUCAUGUUUUCUUCUAUUUGUGUCUAAUUAUUUCUGCGUUUUCCUGUGUGACAUCCAAAGGUUAGCUUCACAGAUUUUUUGUGGUUUAGUUCAUGUAGAAAUCUAGGAUAGGCGGCAUCUAAAUUCCUCCGUUCUUCUUAUUCCCAUGUUUUGAAUUCGUAUGUUUCAAAGGGCGCCUUAUAUGAUAAAUAAGCUUGUAUUGUUCAAUGAAUAUGUGGAAUGGUAUGGUGCAAAUGAUUGCCGAAGAGGAUUGCUAUAUGGCGGCCCCAAUCGCUCAUUGAUCAUCAUGAGCCAUGGUCCCAGCUCUUAAUGCAGUAACGCAACCAAGCACAAUGCUAAUGACAGUGCACCGUGUGUGAACACCAUUGACCACACCGUUCUUCAAGUUGAGAUUUACAUUAGUGCAUGACCCAAUAGAACAUCCCACCAUCUUGAAUGGGCGCUUUGUCAAAGAGCUCCUGGAAUCAGUUCCAAGCAAAUGUCACUCUAUGGCUAUCCUAAUUUGUUUCCGUAUGUUACUAACUUGCAACUAGUAGUUGGUCAGUUGUUCUGGAUUGGAG